AGCGUUGUUCGGAAUUACUGGGCGUAAAGCGCGCGUAGGCGGUUUUUUAAGUCAGAGGUGAAAGCCCAGUGCUCAACACUGGAACUGCCUUUGAAACUGGAAAACUUGAAUCUUGGAGAGGUCAGUGGAAUUCCGAGUGUAGAGGUGAAAUUCGUAGAUAUUCGGAAGAACGCCAGUGGCGAAGGCGACUGACUGGACAAGUAUUGACGCUGAGGUGCGAGAGCGUGGGGAGCAAACAGGAUUAGAUACCCUGGUAGUCCACGCCGUAAACGAUGAUAACUAGCUGUCCGGGCUCAUAGAGCUUGGGUGGCGCAGCUAACGCAUUAAGUUAUCCGCCUGGGGAGUACGGUCGCAAGAUUAAAACUCAAAGGAAUUGACGGGGGCCUGCACAAGCGGUGGAGCAUGUGGUUUAAUUCGAAG
RNAcentral lists this ribosomal RNA (420 nucleotides) under uncultured Alphaproteobacteria bacterium. Its description in RNAcentral is "bacterial SSU rRNA". It matches the Rfam family "Bacterial small subunit ribosomal RNA", at positions 537 to 956 of the family's 1533-position model. The record is from RNAcentral. Lineage: Bacteria; Pseudomonadati; Pseudomonadota; Alphaproteobacteria.